GCCAGAGUGGCGGAAUAGGCAUACGCGGCGGUCUCAAAAACCGUUGAGGGUAACCUCAUGUGGGUUCAAUUCCCACCUCUGGCA
This 84-nucleotide transfer RNA is filed under the name Nitrospirota bacterium. RNAcentral's name for it is "Nitrospirae bacterium (hydrothermal vent metagenome) tRNA-Leu". It matches the Rfam family "tRNA". Rfam says of the family: Transfer RNA (tRNA) molecules are approximately 80 nucleotides in length. Their secondary structure includes four short double-helical elements and three loops (D, anti-codon, and T loops). The record is from RNAcentral. Lineage: Bacteria; Pseudomonadati; Nitrospirota.